GUGUUAGUUUGAUAAACUUCUCGCAUUUGUAUAAGGGAUGUUUCUUGUUACAAAUCGGGCAAUUUGACAUGUAUGUCGCAACGCUUUGAUAUUCUUUAUUUAUUAAUUUUCCAUACCGAUGUUCCUUUUGAAAUUGAGGCUUGUAAGUCUUGUUAUUAACUGAUUUUUGUUGAUUAUAUUUUUUGAAUGAUGACAACAUUUCUCUAUCUCUUAUGCCGCUUGGUUCUAAAGCGAUGAAUUUGCUCUCUAGGAAGUCCAUUAGCUCCGAGAGUGAAGGAAAUUCUCGUGGCAUUUUCCGGGCUUCCUUGUAGUCGUUAUAGGUGACUGUAUCCAGCUUUUUUGUAAUAAUAUGAACUAGUAAUGGGUCCCAGGUACUUGUAUCGAUACCCAGGUUUUUAAUAGCGUAGAUACAUUCCAUUGACGUGUCGUAAAUACGUCUAAUCUCGUACGCUGAUUGUUUUUGAGCGGCUGGCUGAUUGAUAAAGAUUUUGAUUUGUUUAGUAAAUAACAAUUGUGGAUUGUUAUAUCUGUGUGUCAACAAUUCCCACGCUGUGUCGUAGUUGUCCGCUGAGAUAGUUAGAUGUUGGAUGAUUCGUUCAGCAUCUCCUCGUAAUUUGCUCUUUAGGUGUUGCAUCUUCUGAGUUUUUGUAAUCAAAUUGUUAUUGUGAAUACUUUCUACGUAUAAGUCAUAAAACGUAGGCCAUUGCGUAUAUUUGCCUGUAAACGACGGCAAGUCGAUCUGUGGUGUCGAUUUUUCAUGAUGAAUGGUCGAUGUGAGUUUAAGAUUCAACGCCCUUUUGAUUGACUUGUAUGAAUCUUCGUAGGCGUAAAACUCACUAUCGUACUGGGUAUCCGAUCCUUGUAGGAUAUUAUCUAUUUGCAAGUGCAAAGCGUCUAUUGAGUUCCAGCGCGUUUGUAUGUUGCGUAACUCGUCUUCCAGCUCCCAUUUGUCUUGGAUUUCAUCUACUUUCAAGCGAUUUAUUUGUCGAUGAAAAGCUCGGAAGUUUGUUCUUUGGAGUGACAUCAAUUCUGUUGCCUGACCUCGAUCCGUCGUUGAGGUCUUAGUGGCAUUUGAAAUUUGAAGUGAUCCCUCCAUUUUCAUCAUUUUUUAAUGCUGACGUUUAUGUAAAACUGAUAGGACCGUCUUCAGAGGUCCAGGCCAGUCUCUCAGUGGAUAGUGCGACCUUGUUUGCGCCUUCUCAAUUUAACUGGUGGAACCCGCUUCUGGGAAGCCAGUCAACCGAUUCGCAGUCACACAAAUUCCACGUGAGUGUUGUGGCCACUGUAUCUGGAUUCUCCAAAUGUCGAUGGAAAUCCGUAGAGUUUAUAGUCUUGAUUGACUGUUUUCUUGAGUGAUUUCUCGAAGAAAUAUUUGUUUUUUCUCGAAGGAUCAAAACGACUGUAUGUAUCCUCGAGGUAAGACUGUUGUCUUGUAGCUUGCAGGUUCAGAAUGACUGCGCAGCUUGUCAGCAGCAAGGCUGUAUUCUCGAAGGACCAAAAAACUGUAUGGCCCUGUCUGUGUGAGUGAGAGACGACAUGUGAGGGAAGGUUACGAGGGAAACCAAACCCAAUGAAAGUCGAUCAAACACU
This 1590-nucleotide unclassified non-coding RNA is filed under the name Melitaea cinxia (Glanville fritillary). Its description in RNAcentral is "misc RNA ENSMCXG00005001156.1". Lineage: Eukaryota; Metazoa; Arthropoda; Insecta; Lepidoptera; Nymphalidae. The record is from RNAcentral.